Long non-coding RNA from Osmerus eperlanus (European smelt), 905 nucleotides. RefSeq lists it as uncharacterized. The record is from RefSeq and is a predicted model, not a curated record. NCBI's taxonomy places the organism in Eukaryota, Metazoa, Chordata, Actinopteri, Osmeriformes, Osmeridae. The transcript is spliced from 3 exons.
GUGACGCCUUGUGUUUUUCCCCUGCUGUGCCGUUUGAGGAAUCUCACUGGGGAAGUGCCUUCCAGUGAGUCGCAUGGGGUUGUCCACACAGGGACGGCCUGCGGUUGGAAGAUGACGGGUUGUGUUGUGUUGGAGCUGUCGCAUGAGGUUCUCCCUGUACCUCUUGUAGGUGAUGACCUGGCCUGUGGCUCUGUGGUGGAUUAUGAAGCCAUUCAGUACAGCGGCAUCAAGUAGGCUUCACCUUCAUUGAUCCUGUUGAAAAAUCAAUUUUCCCACUCUCUACCAUUUGAGAACUGUGUACAGUCGACAAGACGUGCACAUCCCUUUUAUCGUGCCAUUUAACUGCCAACAGGUCCCCCUUGUGACGGAACUCCACAUCCCCCUUCAUCUUCUUAGUGAAGUUUGGCAUUCCCUUUCGAUUGGCCCUCACAGUCCCACAGGCUCCAGUCUUCUGCUGCAGAAGGUACUGGAAUAAUGCUGGGCUAUUGUACCAGUUGUCUAGGACGAUGGUGUGCCCUUUGCCAAGGUGAGGCUGCAGCAGGGUUGUGACCACAGAGCCAGAGACACCAAGGCCCUCCAUAUAUUUGAUGUCUGUGGUGGACCCGGUAUAGAUGAUAAGGUCCUGGAUAUAGCCUGUCGGCACAUCACACAGGACAACUUAAUGCCGAACCUGUGGCGCUUUGAGGGUAUGUACUGCCUGAAACCUAUCCUACCUUUCCAUUGCAGAAGUGACUCAUCUAUACACAAGUCCUUAUGAGGUACAAACACUUCCAAAUGCUGUGGUCAAGUUUGUCAGUACAUUACGGAUCUUGUGGAGGGGAUCAGCAAGAUUUGCAGUAGCCUUGUUUACAAAGUGUUGCGCUCUUAACAGGAGAAGGAAGCGGUCCUGAGAGAAUAGUGUUUUG